Molecule: ribosomal RNA, 497 nt
Filed under: uncultured bacterium
Lineage: Bacteria
Description: partial 16S ribosomal RNA
Rfam family: Bacterial small subunit ribosomal RNA
Source: RNAcentral
GAUGAACGCUGGCGGCGUGCCUAAUACAUGCAAGUCGAGCGAACAGACGAUGAUCUUUCUCCUCUUACUUUAUCGGCUGACGUGUGAUUAACACUUUGAUAACCUACCUAUAAUACUGGUAUAACUUCGGGAAACCUGAGCUAAUACCUGAUAAUAUAUUGCACCUCAUUGUUCAUUAGUUAAAUUCGGUUUUUCUUUCUCUUAUAGAUUUUUCCUCUCCUCAUUAGCUAGUUGUUAAGGUAACGGCUUACCAAGGCAACGAUGGGUAGCCGACAUGAGAGGGUGAACGGCCACACUGGAACUGAGACACGGUCAAGACACCUACGGGAGGAAGCAGUAGGGAAUAGUCCGCAAUGGGCGAAAGCAUGACGGAGCAACGCCGCGUGAGAGAUGAAGGGAUUCGGAUCGUAAAACUCUGUUAUUAGGGAAGAAAAAAAGUGUAAGUAAAUAUGAAAGUAUUGACGGUACCUAAACAGAAAGCCACGGCUAACUACGUG